Long non-coding RNA from Nematostella vectensis (starlet sea anemone), 1740 nucleotides. RefSeq lists it as uncharacterized. Lineage: Eukaryota; Metazoa; Cnidaria; Anthozoa; Actiniaria; Edwardsiidae. The record is from RefSeq and is a predicted model, not a curated record. The transcript is spliced from 2 exons.
AGGCAAGGUGAGUGAGUAGUGUUAGGCAAGGUGAGUAAGUAGUGUUAGGCAAGGUGAGUAAGUAGUGUUAGGCAAGGUGAGUAAGUAGUGUUAGGCAAGGUGAGUGAGUAUUGUUAGGCAAGGUGAGUAAGUAGUGUUGGGCAAGGUGAGUGAGUAGUGUUAGGCAAGGUGAGUGAGUAGUUUUAGGCAAGGUGAGUAAGUAGUGUUAGGCAAGGUGAGUAAGUAGUGUUAGGCAAGGUGAGUGAGUAUUGUUAGGCAAGGUGAGUGAGUAUUGUUAGGCAAGGUGAGUAAGUAUUGUUAGGCAAGGUGAGUAAGUAUUGUUAGGCAAGGUGAGUAAGUAGUGUUAGGCAAGGUGAGUAAGUAGUGUUAGGCAAGGUGAGUAAGUAUUGUUAGGCAAGGUGCGUAAGUAGUGUUGGGCAAGGUGCGUAAGUAGUGUUGGGCAAGGUGAGUAAGUAGUGUUAGGCAAGGUGAGUGAGUAUUGUUAGGCAAGGUGAGUGAGUAUUGUUAGGCAAGGUGAGUAAGUAUUGUUAGGCAAGGUGAGUAAGUAUUGUUAGGCAAGGUGAGUAAGUAUUGUUAGGCAAGGUGAGUAAGUAGUGUUAGGCAAGGUGAGUAAGUAUUGUUAGGCAAGGUGAGUAAGUAGUGUUAGGCAAGGUGAGUGAGUAGUGUUAGACAAGGUGAGUAAGUAGUGUUAGGCAAGGUGAGUAAUUAGUGUUAGGCAAGGUGAGUGAGUAUUGUUAGGCAAGGUGAGUAAGUAUUGUUAGGCAAGGUGAGUAAGUAGUUUUAGGCAAGGUGAGUAAGUAGUUUUAGGCAAGGUGAGUAAGUAGUGUUAGGCAAGGUGAGUAAGUAUUGUUAGGCAAGGUGCGUAAGUAGUGUUGGGCAAGGUGAGUAAGUAGUGUUAGGCAAGGUGAGUGAGUAUUGUUAGGCAAGGUGAGUGAGUAUUGUUAGGCAAGGUGAGUAAGUAUUGUUAGGCAAGGUGAGUAAGUAUUGUUAGGCAAGGUGAGUAAGUAGUGUUAGGCAAGGUGAGUAAGUAGUGUUAGGCAAGGUGAGUGAGUAGUGUUAGGCAAGGUGAGUAAGUAGUGUUAGGCAAGGUGAGUAAUUAGUGUUGGGCAAGGUGAGUGAGUAGUGUUGGGCAAGGUGAGUGAGUAGUGUUAGGCAAGGUGAGUAAGUAUUGUUAGGCAAGGUGAGUGAGUAGUGUUAGGCAAGGUGAGUAAGUAGUGUUAGGCAAGGUGAGUAAGUAUUGUUAGGCAAGGUGCGUAAGUAGUGUUGGGCAAGGUGCGUAAGUAGUGUUGGGCAAGGUGAGUAAGUAGUGUUAGGCAAGGUGCGUAAGUAGUGUUGGGCAAGGUGCGUAAGUAGUGUUGGGCAAGGUGAGUAAGUAGUGUUAGGCAAGGUGAGUGAGUAUUGUUAGGCAAGGUGAGUGAGUAUUGUUAGGCAAGGUGAGUAAGUAGUGUUAGGCAAGGUGAGUAAGUAGUGUUAGGCAAGGUGGGUAAGUAGUGUUAGGCAAGGUGAGUGAGUAGUGUUAGGCAAGGUGAGUAAGUAGUGUUAGGCAAGGUGAGUAAGUAGUGUUAGGCAAGGUGAGUAAGUAGUGUUAGGCAAGGUGAGUGAGUAUUGUUAGGCAAGGUGAGUAAGUAGUGUUAGGCAAGGUGAGUAAGUAGUGUUAGGCAAGGUGAGUGAGUAGUGUUAGGCAAGGUCAGUAAGUAUUGUUAGGCAAGGUGAGUAAGUAGUGUUAGGCAAGGUGAGUAA